UACGAAGGGGGCUAGCGUUGCUCGGAAUCACUGGGCGUAAAGCGCACGUAGGCGGCUUGUUAAGUCAGGGGUGAAAUCCUGGAGCUCAGCUCCAGAACUGCCUUUGAUACUGGCGAGCUUGAGUCCGGGAGAGGUGAGUGGAACUGCGAGUGUAGAGGUGAAAUUCGUAGAUAUUCGCAAGAACACCAGUGGCGAAGGCGGCUCACUGGCCCGGUACUGACGCUGAGGUGCGAAAGCGUGGGGAGCAAACAGG
This 253-nucleotide ribosomal RNA is filed under the name uncultured bacterium. Its description in RNAcentral is "partial 16S ribosomal RNA". It matches the Rfam family "Bacterial small subunit ribosomal RNA", at positions 524 to 776 of the family's 1533-position model. The record is from RNAcentral.